GUCCACGCCCUAAACGAUGCGAACUGGACGUUGGGAGCAAUCAGGCUCUCAGUGUCGAAGCUAACGCGUUAAGUUCGCCGCCUGGGGAGUACGGUCGCAAGACUGAAACUCAAAGGAAUUGACGGGGGCCCGCACAAGCGGUGGAGUAUGUGGUUUAAUUCGAUGCAACGCGAAGAACCUUACCUGGCCUUGACAUCCACGGAACCCUUGAGAGAUUCAGGGGGUGCCUUCGGGAACCGUGAGACAGGUGCUGCAUGGCUGUCGU
Molecule: ribosomal RNA, 265 nt
Filed under: uncultured bacterium
Lineage: Bacteria
Description: partial 16S ribosomal RNA
Rfam family: Bacterial small subunit ribosomal RNA
Source: RNAcentral